Molecule: ribosomal RNA, 492 nt
Filed under: uncultured bacterium
Lineage: Bacteria
Description: bacterial SSU rRNA
Rfam family: Bacterial small subunit ribosomal RNA
Source: RNAcentral
UGGGCGAAAGCCUGAUGCAGCAACGCCGCGUGAGUGAAGAAGGCCUUCGGGUUGUAAAGCUCUGUCUUUUGGGACGAUAAUGACGGUACCAAAGGAGGAAGCCACGGCUAACUACGUGCCAGCAGCCGCGGUAAUACGUAGGUGGCAAGCGUUGUCCGGAUUUACUGGGCGUAAAGGAUGCGUAGGUGGAUAUUUAAGUGGGAUGUGAAAUACCCGGGCUCAACUUGGGUGCUGCAUUCCAAACUGGAUAUCUAGAGUGCAGGAGAGGAAAGUGGAAUUCCUAGUGUAGCAGUGAAAUGCGUAGAUAUUAGGAGGAACACCAGUGGCGAAGGCGGCUUUCUGGACUGUAACUGACACUGAGGCAUGAAAGCGUGGGGAGCAAACAGGAUUAGAUACCCUGGUAGUCCACGCCGUAAACGAUGGGUACUAGGUGUGGGAGUUGUCAUGACUUCCGUGCCGUCGUUAACACAGUAAGUACCCCGCCUGGGGAGU